RNA transcript from Mugil cephalus (flathead mullet), 3171 nucleotides. It is a transcript of the gene named KH domain containing, RNA binding, signal transduction associated 3, with no coding region annotated. The transcript is spliced from 11 exons. Lineage: Eukaryota; Metazoa; Chordata; Actinopteri; Mugiliformes; Mugilidae. The record is from RefSeq and is a predicted model, not a curated record.
AGCUGUGGAUACAACAGAGGGAGCUCCAAAGAGCCUGUCCACCCAGAGAGGAGAGGAGCACUCCGGCUGAGAUUGCUACUAACGGGGCUGCGGGCUGAACCUCACUUCCAUGGGAUAAAACCUGACUCUCGCCUUCAAAACCGUUAAUUGUGCGUGUGUGUGCGCGCGUGCAUCUCGGACUGAGAUGCAGUUGUAGCGCGGCUGACAUUAUCGCCUCUUGCUUCACAGACACAUAUAUUCAAACUUGGAGCCGUCUGGACGCUGAACAAGUUUUCUUUUUGUAUUUACUUGAAAUCCACUCGAGCCGUUUACUCGGAGCCCAAAACCCACGACAAGAUGGGGAGCGAAAAGUACUUGCCGGAGCUUAUGGCAGAGAAGGACACGCUGGAUCCGUCUUUUCAGCACUCCCUGCGGCUACUGGAUCAAGAGAUCGAAAAAAUUCAGAAAGACGAGGGGAAGGAGGAGGAGAAAUUCAUCGACGUCGUCAUCAACAAGAACAUGAAACUGGGCCAGAAAGUUUUAAUACCAGUCAAGCAGUUUCCUAAAUUUAACUUUGUCGGCAAACUCCUCGGGCCACGCGGGAACUCGUUAAAGAGACUACAAGAGGACACUCUCACAAAGAUGUCAAUUCUCGGAAAAGGAUCCAUGAGAGACAAAGAAAAGGAGGAAGAGCUACGGCAGAGCGGCGAGGCCAAAUAUCACCACCUGAAUGAAGACCUGCACGUCCUCAUCGAGGUGUUCGCCCCGCCGGCUGAGGCCUACGCCAGGAUGGGUCACGCUCUGGAGGAGAUCAAGAAGUUUCUCAUACCAGACUACAAUGACGAGAUCAGACAGGCCCAGCUGCAGGAGCUCACGUACCUGAACGGAGGCUCGGAGGAUGCCAAGGUGCCAUCGGUGAGGGGCAAGUCAGUCACCCGUGGAAGAGGGACACCUGUUCCAGGGCCUCCCAGGAGUCGCGGAGGGGUCCCUCCCCUGCAUGCAGCCGUGCCCCGAGGAGCCGCUCCCAGAGGAGCCCCGCCCAGCCGGGCCCCGUCGUCCAGAGGGAGGGGGGUGCAGAGAGCCAGAGGUGCACCCCCGACCGCAGGUUACAGGCCGGCUCCUCCCAUAGUCCAGGAAACGUACGGCGAAUAUGAAUACGACGACGGCUACGGAACAGCUUAUGACGACCAGGGAUAUGAAUCAUACGACAACAACUACAGUAAUCAAGGACAAAACUCAGAUGACUACUAUGAAUACGGACACAGCGGGGAAUCAUAUGAUUCGUAUGGUCAGGAAGAGUGGGCAAACAAUCGCGGCAAGGCUCCGACGGCACGAACAACCAAGGGAGUGUACAGAGAUCAGCCAUACUCCAGAUAUUGAACUGUUUAUACAACCUGCACCUGAGUCCUCAUGGCUGUUUUCAACCCAAGUAAUGGAUUUUUUAUGGACGCUCCCACCUUUUUAGAAUUGAAAACUAAACCACAAAAUAAUUCAAAUGAAACAGCGAUAGCGAGAGUCAAAACAGGUUUUUCAGUCACGGAGUUCCGCCCCCCCCUCGAUUAUUAAAAAAAAUACACCCACUGGAGAAAAUGUGUAACACAAUUUAGGUAAUCUAUCCUUUCCUCUGGGAGAAAUCGAAUGGACGUUAAGAUUAAGAAAGACUCCAUAGUACAUUAAGUUACUCUCUCAGCUAUGUGAUUGUGAAGAAUGACAUUGUAUCAAGCUAUUUGACUUGGUAAUGGUUAGUUCAAUACAGUGGUUCUACACAGCUGCCAGUGCAACUUAAUUUCUCCCCCCUCUAUUCUUUAAACCUCUGACUGCGUGGUUGAUCACUUUAAAAUGUAGUAGCUUAGCUCUAGGAAAGUGCGGUACUGUAGAUAUUUCUUUCUGAGGGGUAAUCGGUGAAGUUGUGUCCCUUGUAAAUGAAACAUUUACAAACUGAAAAAGAGAAAAGUCAUACUGUAUACAUAUUGUAUUGCUGUUUCCUCUUCUUUUUGUAAAAACUAAUAGUUGGUUAGUGUUAAAGGGCUUAUAAAAGCAUGGUGUGCAACUGUGGAUAUUGUCAGCUGUUUUAUUCUGAAAAAGCCUGUGUAGUUGUGUUCAUUGACUAUGACCCCAAACAUCCUCUUAAACACUUAUAAAUAGCGGCGCAUACUUCAUGUACACCCCGAUACGAGCAGAGAAGCAGAACAGCUUUUGAAUGUUUGUGAUUUUUUUUUCUUCUUUUUCUCCUUUUUUUUUUUUAGAUGCUCUAAAUAAGUAACAUCGAUGUCACUUUCUGAUUUAAAAACGAGAUACUUUUCUGACAUCACGCGCUGGAGAACUGGGCGUCAUUUCCAUCUAGAGAUCUGUUCGACUAUAUUGAUUCUGAGCUUAUGUCAAAGUCCUGGCUACACAGAGCCCUCCAUCCAAUUGUCUCUCUGGUUCUGAAGACUUGACGAACAACAAACACGCUUUCCUCCAAACAUUCAAGUCCACACAGUAUCUGACAGAACCCCGGUGAAAAUGGCCAUCAGGCUUCACUGAGGAUGCCCCCUCCCUACUCCCUCCUUGACCAAAUAGUGAACUUAUAAAUUUUUCCAUCCGGACUGAGGUGUAUCCUUCAGGGGAUGGGAUGAGGAACCUGUUGAGAUGCAGAAAAUGGGAGGGGGCAGAAGACAAUGCAUGUAUCACACUUCAUCAUUCAAAGGAGAGAGGAGAGAAAAACCCAUCGGGCAAAUGGAGUUCCUCACCCUCCGGGACGAUCUGUCGGAAAAUAUUUCCUUCAGUGCUUCAGCAGCUCUGUAUACAUUUUACAUACACACAGGAAUGCUCUGAACUGACUGUGAACCUGACCAGCGUCUUUCUUGAUUCAGCUUGUUAGAGGGGAAGUGUGUUCCUCUUACAUUAGACAUUAACAGUCACCUAGUUGGAAGGGUGAGUAAAUAAAUAAUGAAGUGUGCUAAGGGAAAGACAUCAUAAUUCGAGGAAAGACACUUUGUUGUUCUGCUCAUUGCUCAUUAAUCUAUAUCCAAUCCAUUCCGAUGAAUAAAUAAUUCACUAAGUGCCUUGCUGUUGCAUUAUCGUGACAGUUUUAGAUGCUGAGAUUCAUUGCCAAGUUAAAAUAUGGGUCAGUUCUUAAUAUAAUGUAGCUAUAUUUUCCUCCUUUAUGCAUUUUUUUCUGUUUUUUUUUUUUUUUUGUAUGCAUUACCA